GAUGAACGCUGGCGGUAUGCUUAACACAUGCAAGUCGAACGGACUCUUCGGAGUUAGUGGCGGACGGGUGAGUAACGCGUGAGAAUCUGGCUUUGGGUUCGGGACAACCACUGGAAACGGUGGCUAAUACCGGAUGUGCCGAGAGGUAAAAGAGAAAUUGCCUGAAGAUGAGCUCGCGUCUGAUUAGCUAGUUGGUGAGGUAAAGGCCCACCAAGGCAGCGAUCAGUAGCUGGUCUGAGAGGAUGACCAGCCACACUGGGACUGAGACACGGCCCAGACUCCUGCGGGAGGCAGCAGUGGGGAAUUGUCCGCAAGGGGCGAAAGCCUGACGGAGCAAUACCGCGUGAGGGAAGAAGGCUCUUGGGUUGUAAACCUCUUUUCUUAGGGAAGAACAAAAUGACGGUACCUAAGGAAGCAGCAUCGGCUAACUCCGUG
This 435-nucleotide ribosomal RNA is filed under the name uncultured bacterium. RNAcentral's name for it is "partial 16S ribosomal RNA". It matches the Rfam family "Bacterial small subunit ribosomal RNA", at positions 28 to 507 of the family's 1533-position model. The record is from RNAcentral.